This 233-nucleotide ribosomal RNA is filed under the name uncultured bacterium. Its description in RNAcentral is "partial 16S ribosomal RNA". It matches the Rfam family "Bacterial small subunit ribosomal RNA", at positions 100 to 334 of the family's 1533-position model. The record is from RNAcentral.
CGGGACGGGUGAGUAAUGUCUGGGAAACUGCCCGAUGGAGGGGGAUAACUACUGGAAACGGUAGCUAAUACCGCAUAACGUCGCAAGACCAAAGAGGGGGACCUUCGGGCCUCUUGCCAUCGGAUGUGCCCAGAUGGGAUUAGCUAGUAGGUGGGGUAACGGCUCACCUAGGCGAUGAUCCCUAGCUGGUCUGAGAGGAUGACCAGCCACACUGGAACUGAGACACGGUCCAG